This 957-nucleotide non-coding RNA is filed under the name Enteromius camptacanthus (African redfinned barb). RNAcentral describes it as "12S rRNA". It matches the Rfam family "Bacterial small subunit ribosomal RNA". The record is from RNAcentral. Lineage: Eukaryota; Metazoa; Chordata; Actinopteri; Cypriniformes; Cyprinidae.
CAAAGGUAUGGUCCCGACCUUAUUAUCAGCUAUAGCUCAACUUACACAUGCAAGUCUCCGCAUCCCAGUGAAUACGCCCUCAAUCCCCCGCCAGGGGACCAGGAGCAGGCAUCAGGCACAAAUAUUAGCCCAAGACGCCCAGCCAAGCCACACCCCCAAGGGAAUUCAGCAGUGAUAAACAUUAAGCCAUAAGUGAAAACUUGACUUAGUCAGAGCUAAUAAGGGCCGGUAAAACUCGUGCCAGCCACCGCGGUUAGACGAGAGACCCUAGUUGACAUUAUAUCGGCGUAAAGGGUGGUUAGGGCUAAAAAAUAAUAAAGCCGAAUGGCCCCUUGGCCGUCAUACGCUUCUAGGCGUCCGAAGCCCUACAUACGAAAGUAGCUUUAAUUAAACCCGCCCGACCCCACGAAAACUAAGAAACAAACUGGGAUUAGAUACCCCACUAUGCUUAGCCGUAAACUUAGACAUCCACCUACAAUAAGAUGUCCGCCAGGGUAUUACGAGCACUAGCUUAAAACCCAAAGGACCUGACGGUGUCUCAGACCCACCUAGAGGAGCCUGUUCUAGAACCGAUAAACCCCGUUUAACCUCACCACUUCUAGCCAUCCCAGCCUAUAUACCGCCGUCGUCAGCUUACCCUGUGAAGGUAAUAAAAGUAAGCAAAAUGAGUACAACCCAGAACGUCAGGUCGAGGUGUAGCGCAUGAAGUGGAUAGAAAUGGGCUACAUUUUCUAUCACAGAAUACACGAAUAUGCACCAUGAAACAGUACUUAAAGGAGGAUUUAGCAGUAAAAGGGAAACAGAGUGUCCCUUUGAAUCCGGCUCUGAGACGCGUACACACCGCCCGUCACUCUCCCCACUUUAAACGCAACAAAAUAAUUAAUAUUAUAGCACUAAUACUAGGGGAGGCAAGUCGUAACACGGUAAGUGUACCGGAAGGUGCACUUGGACCAAACC